GGGCCAGUGGUGCAAUGGCUACUGUAUCUGACUACAGAUCAGAAGAUUCUAGGUUCAACUCCUGGCUGUCUUG
Molecule: non-coding RNA, 73 nt
Organism: Pangasianodon gigas (Mekong giant catfish)
Lineage: Eukaryota; Metazoa; Chordata; Actinopteri; Siluriformes; Pangasiidae
Source: the annotation of a GenBank genome assembly